CUCUUAUCGAGAGCGGUGGAGGGACUGGCCCUGUGAAACCGCGGCAACCGGAAAAGAGAGUCUUUUCGUCAAGGUGCCAAUCCCAGCCCUUUGAAGCGUAAGGGAAGGAUGAGAG
RNAcentral lists this non-coding RNA (115 nucleotides) under Methylacidiphilum infernorum V4. RNAcentral describes it as "SAM riboswitch aptamer (S box leader)". It matches the Rfam family "SAM riboswitch aptamer (S box leader)". From Rfam's summary of the family: The SAM riboswitch is found upstream of a number of genes which code for proteins involved in methionine or cysteine biosynthesis in Gram-positive bacteria. Lineage: Bacteria; Pseudomonadati; Verrucomicrobiota; Methylacidiphilae; Methylacidiphilales; Methylacidiphilaceae. The record is from Rfam by way of RNAcentral. RNAcentral also lists the same sequence under 1 other name.